RNAcentral lists this ribosomal RNA (436 nucleotides) under [Eubacterium] minutum. RNAcentral describes it as "bacterial SSU rRNA". It matches the Rfam family "Bacterial small subunit ribosomal RNA", at positions 28 to 447 of the family's 1533-position model. Lineage: Bacteria; Bacillati; Bacillota; Clostridia; Peptostreptococcales; Anaerovoracaceae. The record is from RNAcentral.
GAUGAACGCUGGCGGCGUGCCUAACACAUGCAAGUCGAGCGAGAAGCCAUAAAAGGACACUUCGGUAGAAUUAUAUGGCGGAAAGCGGCGGACGGGUGAGUAACGCGUGGGAAACCUGCCUUUCACAGAGGGAUAGCCGAAGGAAACUACGAUUAAUACCUCAUAAAGCAAAAGCUUCGCAUGGAGCGAUUGCCAAGGAAUAAUCGGUGAAAGAUGGUCCCGCGUCUGAUUAGUUAGUUGGUAAGGUAGCGGCUUACCAAGGCGACGAUCAGUAGCCGGCCUGAGAGGGUGAACGGCCACAUUGGAACUGAGACACGGUCCAGACUCCUACGGGAGGCAGCAGUGGGGGAUAUUGCACAAUGGGCGAAAGCCUGAUGCAGCAACGCCGCGUGAAGGAAGAAGGCUUUCGAGUCGUAAACUUCUGUCCAAAGGGAAG